GCUUCCUCCUCCUGCUGCUUCCUCAUGCAGAGCUCUCUGAUGCACUGAAAUUCAGCUCUAGUGAAGCAGCCCUGCCCCGUCCAGGAAGUCACCCGAGGUGAUGAAGGCAUCCUGACGCCACAAGCGGUGGUGAAUGUCACAGCUGACGCGCCAUGGAGAUGACGUGCAGCUGGCUUUACCGACAGGCUCUGAGGAAACUCACCCGACAGGUUUAGAGUCUGACUAACGUCUGGGAGGGCACUGAUUGACUCUGUACAGUCACACGUCUGACAGGGACACAAAUGAAGACAGCCGCAGCGGUGUCCUGAAGCCUUAGCGAGCAGGCUCGCGCGUGCGUGCGGCUCAUCCCUGGAGCGAGCGCGUUCUGCGCGUGCGUGGGGCAGGGUGUGGCACAUGACUGUAGCGAGUACCAUCUGCUGAGCGGCUUCCGCCACACCACUUCGGCCGCCCACGUGGUGCAUCUUAGAGGCGUCCUAGAGAGUUACCCGCUUUUCUGUGGGGAGGAAUUCAGCCUCAGCGCUGGGAUGCUCCCCGCCUGCUGCUGGGAGGGAGCCAGGCCCACCUGUGCUCCCUUCCUCGGGUCUGGAGCAGCUCUCUCCGCUUUCUGAGGGGCUUGGGUCAGGAGCGGACGGCAGUGAAUAGGAAGAACAGGUCCCGCCGCCUGGGCUGGAGAAGCUGCCGCUCUGCCAGCUCUCAGCGCACUCCUGCGGACCUGUCUGAUCGACGUCCCGCCUGGCCGGGCUGCGGGGCCCCAAGAGUCCAGGAGAGACUUCUGUCACCUGGCGGGGCACAAACCAGCAAACGCUGGCCAGCGCUGGGGCGACAGGUCUGUCCGCGUCGCGCAGGGCCUGGUCCGCCCUCCGUGCGCCCAGAGCUCGCCCCUCACACGGGGCUGCUCCGGCAGCGGCCUCCCGGAGGUUGGGGAAAGACGCUUCUUUCCAGCUCCAUUCGACACCUUGGAACCCAGAGACCUGCACCCGUGGAGAACACCUUAAAAUAAGAUGGAAUUGUAUAACCGUAAGUGUGCUGUAACCCUAAAGUGUGCUGUGACUUUAAGAGUGCUGUAACCUAAGUAUAACACAAUCAUAAGAGUGAUGUGUAACCAUGAGAUAUGAAAGUAAUGAAAGUAGAACCUUAAGUGGUAUGGCACUGAUAAGGGUGUAGCCCAAACUGGACGGGGCGUACCCCGAAUGGGGCAGAGUAUGCCCCAAGCUGGACAGUGUGUUAAGUCUGAACCAAUACCACGAGCGCCCAGCUAAAAUAGUAUAAAAGGAGCUGAAGACCCCAAGCAAGUCGACGAUCCGUCCACCGACCAGUCGGCCAGUCAGUCUGAUGAUCUGACUACCGACCAAGAGACAUCUGCACACCUGAUCCCGCUGGGAGGAGCAUUGCCGCCGACCAGAUGAGACCAGAGGAUGAGGCAAGCGGGGAGACGGAUAGCCUAGCGCCGACUCAACGCCCUUCGUCUACGGAUCGGACCCUCUGACCCCACGGGAGGAAACGUCGCGCUCCCAUAAGGACUUGCGCAGUACAGGAAAAAAACCUUCAUAAUUCAUGGAGCAAGAAGUAAAGUAUUCCAAGAGCACGCCUCAGUUACGAGGAACAUUAACCUGAUCCUUUUAAAACCUUGAAAAGCAAGACUCUCCCCAACAUCAAACUCUUUCUUAAUCACUCCUGAGAACAAAAUUCAAGGAUAUUUCAUAGGAAUACAAAAAUAGCCAGCACUCAAUAAGAGAAUACAGUUUCAAGGACCACCCACUACGUGACGAAACAUGUACAGAACUGGAACAUGAAGACCCCAAAGGAGCCCCUAUGCAGUCCUUCCUUCUGGCAGGUCAGCUCCAAAACUGCCUAUGGCAUUUCUAGGGUCGAAGAACCCACAGCUCCUAUUAACACUGCAUUUGGAAGAAGUACUUGAUACUUCUUUGUGUGUCUGACUGGCCAAAAUCUUGCAAUACAAAUUACUUACCAGCUGUUGCUUUAAAUCCUGGGCUUAAGAACACCAG
Molecule: long non-coding RNA, 2006 nt
Organism: Heterocephalus glaber (naked mole-rat)
Lineage: Eukaryota; Metazoa; Chordata; Mammalia; Rodentia; Bathyergidae
Source: Ensembl